GACGAACGCUGGCGGCGUGCCUAAUACAUGCAAGUUGAGCGCUGAAGGUUGGUACUUGUACCGACUGGAUGAGCAGCGAACGGGUGAGUAACGCGUGGGGAAUCUGCCUUUGAGCGGGGGACAACAUUUGGAAACGAAUGCUAAUACCGCAUAAAAACUUUAAACACAAGUUUUAAGUUUGAAAGAUGCAAUUGCAUCACUCAAAGAUGAUCCCGCGUUGUAUUAGCUAGUUGGUGAGGUAAAGGCUCACCAAGGCGAUGAUACAUAGCCGACCUGAGAGGGUGAUCGGCCACAUUGGGACUGAGACACGGCCCAAACUCCUACGGGAGGCAGCAGUAGGGAAUCUUCGGCAAUGGACGAAAGUCUGACCGAGCAACGCCGCGUGAGUGAAGAAGGGUUUCGGAUCGUAAAACUCGGUUGGUAGAGAAGAACGUUGGUGAGAGUGGAAAGCUCAUCAAGUGACGGUAACUACACAGAAAGGGACGGCUAACUACGUG
RNAcentral lists this ribosomal RNA (497 nucleotides) under uncultured bacterium. RNAcentral describes it as "partial 16S ribosomal RNA". It matches the Rfam family "Bacterial small subunit ribosomal RNA", at positions 28 to 507 of the family's 1533-position model. The record is from RNAcentral.